GUUCACAGCUCAGUGUCAGAGCAUCUGCUUUGCAUGCAGAAGGUCCAAGGUUCAGUCCCUGGCAUUUCCA
Molecule: non-coding RNA, 70 nt
Organism: Podarcis lilfordi (Lilford's wall lizard)
Lineage: Eukaryota; Metazoa; Chordata; Lepidosauria; Squamata; Lacertidae
Source: the annotation of a GenBank genome assembly